GUAGAUCAGCCUUUGGUUAAAAUCAGGUGCCGUAUCUGUUCUGAUCAGUCGACUGUGUUGGUAUGUGCUCUUUCCGAGGGCAGUAUGUUAAAUGGAAUUUUGAAGCAGAAAGGUAGAAUUAGAGCCUGCUUUCAGUACUCCAUGAAGUGACUUGGUGUUACAAUACCUCCAGCAAUAGUGCAUCCCAU
RNAcentral lists this small nuclear RNA (188 nucleotides) under Chinchilla lanigera (long-tailed chinchilla). RNAcentral's name for it is "U2 spliceosomal RNA (ENSCLAG00000020445.1)". It matches the Rfam family "U2 spliceosomal RNA". From Rfam's summary of the family: U2 is a small nuclear RNA (snRNA) component of the spliceosome (involved in pre-mRNA splicing). Complementary binding between U2 snRNA (in an area lying towards the 5' end but 3' to hairpin I) and the branchpoint sequence (BPS) of the intron results the bulging out of an unpaired adenosine, on the BPS, which initiates a nucleophilic attack at the intronic 5' splice site, thus starting the first of two transesterification reactions that mediate splicing. The record is from Rfam by way of RNAcentral. Lineage: Eukaryota; Metazoa; Chordata; Mammalia; Rodentia; Chinchillidae.